UAGGGAAUAUUGGACAAUGGGCGCAAGCCUGAUCCAGCCAUGCCGCGUGAGUGAUGAAGGCCCUAGGGUUGUAAAGCUCUUUCACCGGUGAAGAUAAUGACGGUAACCGGAGAAGAAGCCCCGGCUAACUUCGUGCCAGCAGCCGCGGUAAUACGAAGGGGGCUAGCGUUGUUCGGAUUUACUGGGCGUAAAGCGCACGUAGGCGGACUUUUAAGUCAGGGGUGAAAUCCCGGGGCUCAACCCCGGAACUGCCUUUGAUACUGGAAGUCUUGAGUAUGGUAGAGGUGAGUGGAAUUCCGAGUGUAGAGGUGAAAUUCGUAGAUAUUCGGAGGAACACCAGUGGCGAAGGCGGCUCACUGGACCAUUACUGACGCUGAGGUGCGAAAGCGUGGGGAGCAAACAGG
RNAcentral lists this ribosomal RNA (404 nucleotides) under Actinomycetes bacterium. Its description in RNAcentral is "Actinobacteria bacterium partial 16S ribosomal RNA". It matches the Rfam family "Bacterial small subunit ribosomal RNA", at positions 355 to 776 of the family's 1533-position model. The record is from RNAcentral. RNAcentral also lists the same sequence under 1 other name. Lineage: Bacteria; Bacillati; Actinomycetota; Actinomycetes.